GGCAUUGAUGAUAAUGGUGUCUCUUCUUUCCCAGUCCGAUUCGACCAUGACGACACGGGGUUCUAUCACGCUUUUAUCACCCUAUUUAUUUAGAGUGAUGGCUUUUCUUGCCAGUGUAAUUCAUUACACGAUAACAAAACUCUCUGAGCC
Molecule: small nucleolar RNA, 150 nt
Rfam family: Small nucleolar RNA snR190